GACGUAGGGCGCGAGCGUUGUCCGGAUUUAUUGGGCGUAAAGAGCUCGUAGGCGGUUUGUCGCGUCUGCUGUGAAAACCCGAGGCUCAACCUCGGGCCUGCAGUGGGUACGGGCAGACUAGAGUGCGGUAGGGGAGAUUGGAAUUCCUGGUGUAGCGGUGGAAUGCGCAGAUAUCAGGAGGAACACCGGUGGCGAAGGCGGGAUCCUGGGCCAGUACUGACGCUGAGGAGCGAAAGCGUGGGGAGCAACAGGGAUAA
RNAcentral lists this ribosomal RNA (257 nucleotides) under uncultured bacterium. RNAcentral's name for it is "partial 16S ribosomal RNA". It matches the Rfam family "Bacterial small subunit ribosomal RNA", at positions 524 to 780 of the family's 1533-position model. The record is from RNAcentral.